RNAcentral lists this ribosomal RNA (721 nucleotides) under Bacillus sp. FJAT-4672. RNAcentral describes it as "bacterial SSU rRNA". It matches the Rfam family "Bacterial small subunit ribosomal RNA", at positions 62 to 764 of the family's 1533-position model. Lineage: Bacteria; Bacillati; Bacillota; Bacilli; Caryophanales; Bacillaceae. The record is from RNAcentral.
UCGAGCGAACUGAUUAGAAGCUUGCUUCUAUGACGUUAGCGGCGGACGGGUGAGUAACACGUGGGCAACCUGCCUGUAAGACUGGGAUAACUUCGGGAAACCGAAGCUAAUACCGGAUAGGAUCUUCUCCUUCAUGGGAGAUGAUUGAAAGAUGGUUUCGGCUAUCACUUACAGAUGGGCCCGCGGUGCAUUAGCUAGUUGGUGAGGUAACGGCUCACCAAGGCAACGAUGCAUAGCCGACCUGAGAGGGUGAUCGGCCACACUGGGACUGAGACACGGCCCAGACUCCUACGGGAGGCAGCAGUAGGGAAUCUUCCGCAAUGGACGAAAGUCUGACGGAGCAACGCCGCGUGAGUGAUGAAGGCUUUCGGGUCGUAAAACUCUGUUGUUAGGGAAGAACAAGUACGAGAGUAACUGCUCGUACCUUGACGGUACCUAACCAGAAAGCCACGGCUAACUACGUGCCAGCAGCCGCGGUAAUACGUAGGUGGCAAGCGUUAUCCGGAAUUAUUGGGCGUAAAGCGCGCGCAGGCGGUUUCUUAAGUCUGAUGUGAAAGCCCACGGCUCAACCGUGGAGGGUCAUUGGAAACUGGGGAACUUGAGUGCAGAAGAGAAAAGCGGAAUUCCACGUGUAGCGGUGAAAUGCGUAGAGAUGUGGAGGAACACCAGUGGCGAAGGCGGCUUUUUGGUCUGUAACUGACGCUGAGGCGCGAAAGCGUGG